CUUGGUGUGCUGAAAGACCUUUACAGGAUUUCGUUUGGUGUAUUUUUUAGUUUGCAUUUCCGUGCAAAUAGCAAAUGUAUAAUGUUUCGUCUGCAUUAGCAAAAUUAACUCUUGCACAGCAAGGUUGUACAAAAUAAUUGUAAAUUGUUAUCAUCAAUUAUAUUGAAAAGAUUCGCAGCGAACCUAAUUCAGAAAGUCUGCAGACAUUAUUGCAUUUGAGUUGAGUACAAUGUUUGGAAAACUGAUUUCGUUUUUGAUUGGGGCAUAUGCUGGGAUAUAUGCUGAUCAACAUUAUAAGAUGCCAAGAAUAGACAACCCGCAGGAUAUGUGGGCCCGACUGAAAGUGGUCAUGGACGACUACAAGAAGGAAAACCCGGGACCCAAAUCUGACUAACGGUUAAACUAACAGGCUGUGACCUGUUAAACUAACAGGCUGUGACCUGUUAAACUAACAGGCUGUGACCUGUUAAACUAACAGGCUGUGACCGUAUAGUUUACAUAUCCUUUGUGGGUAAUCCUGACCAGGCUGGAAAUGUGUGUGACCAAAAUAACAAUGUAUUACUACAUACAAUCAUGUACAUUGUAUAUUCUGGAUGGUUUUUCAUCAUCCGAUACAAAAUGAAGAAGAUGCAUUUUAGCCUUUGUUGAGCAGCUACAUCAGGAAGUAUUACACAAUCUGCUAAAACUAGUGGUUGUUUAAUGCAGGUUAUUUUGUACUGUAGUGGCUGCUUUACACAGUUUUUUUUUAUUAAUACAGGCCGAAUUUCACUACAUGUUUUGUAUAUCAGAUGACUGGGAGACCAUUAUAGUAGCAGACAUGGAUUCAGUGAGACAUGAAUGUCACUUCCAUUCAAUUUCUGUUUGAAAAAUUUGCAUGGUUAAGAAUGAAAUGGUUUUAGCUUGAUAUCCUGUAACACCUAUGUACCAUUUGAAAAAUUUGGGAUAUACCGUAUUUCUUCUAAUAAGCUCCAAGCCUUCAAUAGGCGUAGGGUCUGUAACAGUUUGUAACAAAAUAAACACCAGGCCUCCAAUAAAUGCUGGGUAAGACAGCUCAAAAAUUAUUAAUCCCUGGCCUCUUUCAGCAAUGACGUUGACACUAGACACUUUACAUCGACAAAUAAUAUUAAUAUGUUCAUUGUUUUGUUGAAGUUUAAAGUUUUGUUACAGUUAAAGUUUAAAAAUAACUAAAAUUGUAAGUUUGUAGUUUUUAGCUUUAAUUUCUAAAAUUUGUUUUAAAAAAUUAAGUCCGGGUCUCCAGUAAGUGCCGGGUCUGCGACCAUUUUGAAAUGAAUAAACGCCCGGGUGCUUAUUAGAGGAAAUACGGUAUCAUCCGAUGAGAAACAAGGGUUUAAAAAAAUAAAAAAAAUAAGGUGGUACAAGAAAUAUUGACAUUGGACACAAUACUAUGACUGGUAUAUCAAAAGCUGUGCUGUUCUGUCUGUGGGAAAGUGCAUAUAAAAGAUCUCGUUGCUAAUGGGGAAAAUGUAGCAGGCUUUCUCAGAAGACUGUCAGAAUUAUGAAAUGUUUGACAUUCAUUAGCAGACGAUUAAUUAAUCUGUGUAGUCCAGUGGUGUUUAUUGUCACAUAUGUGUGCAUAAUAGUUGGGAUAUAGGGGGUGGGGGUGGGUGGAAUAAAGUGCUUGUUGAGGUAUGGUGUGUUAUAAGAUUGAUUGCCGUUAAUGGAAUCUAGGAUUUCGUUUUGCAUCUUAAACAGUGCCUCAUAACAAGACUAAUAUGUGCUGCCAUGUAUGGAAAACGUCAUGUAAAAGAGCCCUUGCUGCAUUUAAUGGGAGUAGCGUACACAAUGUAUGUGGUGGUAGCGGGUUUCCUCUUUAUCUAUAGUCCUUCCCAGCAGUAAGGAUCAUUUUCUUACUGUGGUAUGUACACAUGCUAUUUAUUGCUGAACUGAUUGUUUUUAAAACUGCACACAAAAAAAGAGUGAUUUCUUUUGUUAUUUCCAACAUUUUCUCUUAUGUCAAAUCACAUUGAAAUUUAUGUACAAAAAAAUCAUUGUUAAGGGAGGCUGGGAAGGACUAUAGACCAAGUAUCAAAAUGUUUACUCAAUUCUGUCCAAUUCUGUCGGUCGUUCACUGAAGAUUAUUCAAUACAAAUUAAAAAAAAUUAUACUAGUAAAUUUAAUUAUUUGGUUGUAAAUUUUUAUGGUCAUAUAGUUUAGGGUAUAUUUACUUUUUAAAACAAAACUUAUUUAAAAAAUUUGGCCAUUAUGGUAGCAUAGCACCUUUAAAUCCUGCUCAAUUAAUGUGUGUUAAUCUGUUUGGGUUUUUAAAAUAUAUUUUUAAAAAUUAAGAUAGUACAAAUGAAAAUAUUUUGCCUUACAUGUAGAUACACGAGAAAAUGAUAUUUGAAACCCUGAACUCAUAUAUGUUGCAUAGUUUAUAAGAUGAGUUUACAUGUAUCUUGAAAUAUUAGUGAAAUAUUUAUAUCAUGGAGUGAACAGAUGAUGAAUAAAAUAUGAGUUUUUCA
This 2483-nucleotide long non-coding RNA is filed under the name Gigantopelta aegis. RNAcentral's name for it is "uncharacterized LOC121388139". Lineage: Eukaryota; Metazoa; Mollusca; Gastropoda; Neomphalida; Peltospiridae. The record is from RNAcentral.